Molecule: ribosomal RNA, 221 nt
Filed under: Acinetobacter haemolyticus
Lineage: Bacteria; Pseudomonadati; Pseudomonadota; Gammaproteobacteria; Moraxellales; Moraxellaceae
Description: partial 16S ribosomal RNA
Rfam family: Bacterial small subunit ribosomal RNA
Source: RNAcentral
UAAACUGAAGAGUUUGAUCAUGGCUCAGAUUGAACGCUGGCGGCAGGCUUAACACAUGCAAGUCGAGCGGAGAUGAGGUGCUUGCACCUUAUCUUAGCGGCGGACGGGUGAGUAAUGCUUAGGAAUCUGCCUAUUAGUGGGGGACAACAUUCCGAAAGGAAUGCUAAUACCGCAUACGUCCUACGGGAGAAAGCAGGGGAUCUUCGGACCUUGCGCUAAUA